Paramarasmius palmivorus is the source of this 96-nucleotide non-coding RNA. The record is from the annotation of a GenBank genome assembly. Lineage: Eukaryota; Fungi; Basidiomycota; Agaricomycetes; Agaricales; Marasmiaceae.
GGUUCGAUGGCGUAGUUGGUUAUCGCAUCUGUCUAACAUCUCGUUAAAUCCACGGUGUUACACAGAAGGUCCCCAGUUCGAGCCUGGGUCGAAUCA